UCGGGUAGUUUCUGUUUUAGGCGAUAAAAUGACUGUUAUCGAUAAGUGAAAUAAACACAAUUAAUUAAGUUUCCUUUUUUGAUUUUAUUAAUUUGCCCUUAAGAACAAAGUACUCAUAAACGAUGCAUGAAUUCAAUAUUUUGCUUGACAGAGUCCUCUAAUUAAUCAAGUUUCCCUUUUAGGCGGUAAAAUGACUAUGCUUUCUAUGUCGGUUAUAUGAAACAUGAAAAGCGGUUCAAUUGCAAGGUAAACAAACAAAAUUAAUUAAGUUUUCUUUUUUAUCUCGUUUAAUUAGACCUUAAAAUAGGCUUUAAUUGAACAAUGAUUUAAUUUGUGUACUUUUACUUUCCACGUAUGGAUGCAGGAGACAUCUGGUCAGCUUUGUUACAAAGUGUCUCUGGCUUGUGAUUGGUUCAAGUAGAUUUAGGGCGUGACAUUGGGUUUUAUAACAGCACCUCUCAGAGCUGAGGUCUCAUUCACCCUGGUGAUUUGGCAGAAAGCAGAUCGAGCACAACAAGAGCUGUAAGACUGAUAUCUUACGUUACGUCUACCAUCAUGAGUGUGAUUAAACCAGAAAUGAAGAUCAAGCUGCGUAUGGAAGGCACUGUAAACGGGCAUUCGUUUGUUAUUGAAGGAUUGGGAGACGGCAAGCCUUUCGAGGGAAAACAGAGUAUGGACCUUAAAGUCAAAGAAGGCGGACCUCUCCCUUUUGCCUACGAUAUCUUGACAACAGCAUUCCAUUACGGCAACAGGGUAUUUGCUGAAUACCCAGACCAUAUAACAGACUAUUUCAA
Long non-coding RNA from Orbicella faveolata, 794 nucleotides. Lineage: Eukaryota; Metazoa; Cnidaria; Anthozoa; Scleractinia; Merulinidae. The record is from RefSeq and is a predicted model, not a curated record.